GGUAGCGUGGCUGAGAGGCUUAAGGUAACGGUUUGCUAAACCGUCGAUUCAGAAAUGGGUCCACUGGUUCAAAUCCAGUCGCUAUCGCCA
This 90-nucleotide transfer RNA is filed under the name compost metagenome. RNAcentral's name for it is "tRNA-Ser". It matches the Rfam family "tRNA". From Rfam's summary of the family: Transfer RNA (tRNA) molecules are approximately 80 nucleotides in length. Their secondary structure includes four short double-helical elements and three loops (D, anti-codon, and T loops). Further hydrogen bonds mediate the characteristic L-shaped molecular structure. tRNAs have two regions of fundamental functional importance: the anti-codon, which is responsible for specific mRNA codon recognition, and the 3' end, to which the tRNAs corresponding amino acid is attached (by aminoacyl-tRNA synthetases). tRNAs cope with the degeneracy of the genetic code in two manners: having more than one tRNA (with a specific anti-codon) for a particular amino acid; and 'wobble' base-pairing, i.e. permitting non-standard base-pairing at the 3rd anti-codon position. The record is from RNAcentral.